Molecule: ribosomal RNA, 422 nt
Filed under: uncultured bacterium
Lineage: Bacteria
Description: bacterial SSU rRNA
Rfam family: Bacterial small subunit ribosomal RNA
Source: RNAcentral
UGAGGAAUAUUGGACAAUGGGCGCAAUCCUGAUCCAGCCAUGCCGCGUGCAGGAAGAAGCAUCUAUGGUGUGUAAACUGCUUUUGUACGGGAAGAAACACUCCUUCGUGAAGGAGCUUGACGGUACCGUAAGAAUAAGGAUCGGCUAACUCCGUGCCAGCAGCCGCGGUAAUACGGAGGAUCCAAGCGUUAUCCGGAAUCAUUGGGUUUAAAGGGUCCGUAGGCGGUUUAGUAAGUCAGUGGUGAAAGCCCAUCGCUCAACGAUGGAACGGCCAUUGAUACUGCUAGACUUGAAUUAUUAGGAAGUAACUAGAAUAUGGAGUGUAGCGGUGAAAUGCUUAGAUAUUACAUGGAAGACCAAUUGCGAAGGCAGGUUACUACUAAUGGAUUGACGCUGGUGAACGAAAGCGUAGGGAGCGAACA